GUGCUUUGGGGAGGAUGCACAAGUGGCAGGUCCGAUGACAGGUGCUCCAACACCUUGUCCCCGGCCCCCCCUUACCAAACAAACAUAAUAAAGCAAAUAGACAACUGUCCUGGUAAACCAGGCUCCAAAGAGUUAAAGAAACCAAAGACUAAAUUCUUGGACUUACAGAAUAGCAGAUAAGAAAAGAAAGAACUUGCUGAAAAGCUGAAACUAAGACUGUGCCCCGAAGAGUAAGAAACCAGUAACAGAAAUUCUUGAGUUUGCAGGAUAGCAGAUAAGAAAAGAAACAGCUUGCCGAAACACGGACACUCCCUGCACUUACGAGAUCAAGAAAAAAACUGGCUGAUGGCCGGGCCCGGUGCCUCAAGCCUGUAACCCCAGCACUUUGGGAGGCCAAGGAUGUACAGAAAGCAUGGUGCCGGCAUCUGCUCAGCUUCUGGUGAGGGCUUCAGGAAGCGUUUACUCAUAGCAGAAGAGGAAGGGGAG
This 486-nucleotide long non-coding RNA is filed under the name Homo sapiens (human). Its description in RNAcentral is "HSALNT0405662". Lineage: Eukaryota; Metazoa; Chordata; Mammalia; Primates; Hominidae. The record is from RNAcentral.